RNAcentral lists this ribosomal RNA (334 nucleotides) under uncultured eukaryote. Its description in RNAcentral is "partial 18S ribosomal RNA". It matches the Rfam family "Eukaryotic small subunit ribosomal RNA", at positions 1470 to 1796 of the family's 1831-position model. The record is from RNAcentral.
CCCUUAGAUGUCCGGGGCCGCACGCGCGCUACACUGAAGGAAUCAGCGUGGCUUUCUCCCUGACCCGAAAGGGUUGGGAAACCCGUUGAAUCUCCUUCGUGAUAGGGAUUGGGGCUUGAAAUUGUUCCCCAUGAACGAGGAAUUCCCAGUAAGCGCGGGUCAUAAGCUCGCGUUGAUUACGUCCCUGCCCUUUGUACACACCGCCCGUCGCUACUACCGAUUGAACGGUUUAGUGAGGGCCUCGGAUUGGUCUCGGCCCGCUCUUCACCGGGCGGCGCCGUUGGUCGAGAAGACGCUCGAACUUGAUCGUUUAGAGGAAGUAAAAGUCGUAACA